This 520-nucleotide ribosomal RNA is filed under the name uncultured Entrophospora. RNAcentral's name for it is "SSU rRNA". It matches the Rfam family "Eukaryotic small subunit ribosomal RNA", at positions 569 to 1085 of the family's 1831-position model. The record is from RNAcentral. Lineage: Eukaryota; Fungi; Glomeromycota; Glomeromycetes; Entrophosporales; Entrophosporaceae.
AGCAGCCGCGGUAAUUCCAGCUCCAAUAGCGUAUAUUAAAGUUGUUGCAGUUAAAAAGCUCAUAGUUGAAUUUCGGGAUUGACACAUCGGUCGUGCCUUAAGGGGUAUGAACUGGUGUAGUCAAUUUCUCACCUUCUGGAGAACCGCGAUGCCCUUAAUUGGGUGUCGCGGGGAACCAGGACCUUUAACUUUGAAAAAAUUAGAGUGUUUAAAGCAGGCAUUUUGCUUGAAUACAUUAGCAUGGAAUAUAAAAUAGGACGGCAUGAUUCUAUUUUGUUGGUUUCUAGGAUCACCGUAAUGAUUAAUAGGGAUAGUUGGGGGCAUUAGUAUUCAAUUGUCAGAGGUGAAAUUCUUGGAUUUAUUGAAGACUAACUACUGCGAAAGCAUUUGCCAAGGAUGUUUUCAUUAAUCAAGAACGAAAGUUAGGGGAUCGAAGACGAUCAGAUACCGUCGUAGUCUUAACCAUAAACUAUGCCGACUAGGAAUCAGACGAUGUUAAUUUUUAAUGACUCGUUUGGCU